This 2055-nucleotide long non-coding RNA is filed under the name Triticum aestivum (bread wheat). RNAcentral describes it as "long non-coding RNA (TAES_LNC028429)". The record is from RNAcentral. Lineage: Eukaryota; Viridiplantae; Streptophyta; Magnoliopsida; Poales; Poaceae.
UCGGUGUUUUUUUCUCUUUCAUUCCUCUGUCUCUUCCCCGCGCCGCUCGAUCCCCUUUUCAUUUCGAACACGUAACCCAGAAGGCAACUGAGACUCUGAGAGAGAUAUCCAUGGCGAUUUGGAGCCCCCCCUCGCCGCUCGUUGGUUGGUGGUGACUCGUCGGCGCUCUCCCACCUGCUGCCCCGCUCCCUCCGCCUCGUCGUUGUUUCUCCAGCCCAAGGCCUGCAGCAUCUCUCCGCCCCGCAUCCACCUUGGCACCAUUAUUUCGCCGCUCGUCGGUUUUGUUCGAUUCGGUAUGUCCCCCCCUGUUGCUUUGAUCCUCAGCUUUGUAUGUUAGUGCGUAGUGUUUUCUCGGUCAGAUCUGUUUGCUUGUGUUAAUUUCCCGCAGCUUCUUGUGUAGAUGUGUGCGGUUCCGCCCUUCUGUGUUUGAAUCUCGUCUGUCAUGCAAAAUUUGAUUAGGGUUUCUGGUUGGUUGUUAGUUUCAUUGAUCUGCAUGUGUGUCACACCUUCAAUCGGUCUAUGGUUUCUGGGAUUGAUUUGCCAAGUGUGAAAACAGAGUCGCCUGAAGCCGAUGACCGAGGAGAUGACAGUCAAUUUGAUGGUUUACAGAGAGGUGUAGCCUUGAGUGUGGUGUGGUAGGCUGACUGCUGUACCCACGCGACAGGGUGUGUGUGCUCUGUAUUUUUUAGCAUGUCAUGCCGUGUGUGAGAGGUAUGUGUGACUCUAGUCUGAACUUUUCCCCCUGUUCUCUGUACCUAUCCCAACUUUCCUCUGCAUCCUCUCAUGUACUCUAUCUCUCACACCCCCAAAUCCCUCCUGCAAUUUGUGAGAUCUAUCGAUCUAUGAGAUGGGCACUGUGGUUAAUUGUUUGAAUUCGGCUGGUUGUUUGAUUUUGUAUGCGGUAUUUGAGCAAUUCGAACAUAGCAGAUCAUCGUUCAGUCCCUGUUCUCCAUUGUUAGUAUCUACUUCCUCCGUAAACUAAUAUAAGAACGUUCAGAUCACUAAUUAGUUUACAGAGGGAGUAUGUGUUAAUUUUCCCCUGGGCCAUUUUUACUGUCACAGUGUGUAUGUAUGGUUGGCAUGCUGGGUCGCCUUGGGAUUGUGGCUGUAAUUCUCAAUGGAUUUACAGUGCAAUUCCUGUCUGGAUUUACAGUGUAAUUCCUAGUGGAUUUACACUGUACUUCUCAUUUUGGGUUUACACUGUAAUUUUCAUUGGAUUUGCACUGUAAUUGUCAUUGGAUAUGCAGUUGGGUGAGAAUUUAAUUCCUAUUUGAUUUUCAGUGUAAUUACAGUGUAACCCCUAUUGGUUAAUCAGUGUAAUUCAUAUUGGUUUAUCAGUGUAAUUUUUAUUGGUUUUACAGUGUAAUUAGUACUGUAAUUCCUACUUUUUUUGUGUUUACAAUGUAAUUCCUAGUGGAUUUGCAUUGUGAUCCCCAUUAUAGCCCGUAAGUGUUGAUGCUAGUUUACCAUUUGAUUUCGACACUGUAAAUCUUAGUGUAAUUAGUACUGUAAUUUUAUGUUUUUACACAGUAAUUCUUUGUUGAUUUACACUGUAUAUGCACUGAAACUCUUUAUUAAUUUGCACUGUAAUUCCUUGUUGAUUUUCACUGUAAUUCUUUGUUGAUUUACACUGUAAUCUUAAUGGAUUUAUACUGUAAUCUUACUGGUUUGUCACUGUACAUUUUACUGGAUAUACACUGUAUUUCUUAGUGCAAAUUUUAGUGUUUUUUUACUUCACCUUUUUAGAGUGAUUUUCUAGUGCAAUCCCUAGAGGCUUUCUUUUAGUGAAUUAUUUUGAAUUAAUCCUGUAAUUCGUAGUGGUUUUGUCACUGUAAUUUCUAUAUCUUAUCAGUGUAAUUAUAAUUUUGCAAAUGCUACUGGGAUUUGUAGCACGCCAUCACUGUAAAUCCUAGCGGUUCUUUAUCAGUGUUAUAUUCCUUGUAAUCCUAGCGGUUAUUUUACUGUGAUGUAUUUGCAACUGAUUGUUGAUGUUAUUUCAUUUUUAUUUGUGAUGCCUUGCUUCACGCUAAUGUCAGUUUCUGGUUUUUUUUGCAG